Small nucleolar RNA from Tachyglossus aculeatus (Australian echidna), 139 nucleotides. Lineage: Eukaryota; Metazoa; Chordata; Mammalia; Monotremata; Tachyglossidae. The record is from RefSeq and is a predicted model, not a curated record.
CCCCUCUCAGGACCGCAUCUGGAGAGUUUCCAGUACUCUUACCAGUCUCAGCUACGGGAGGGAGAGUCGAGCAGAGGCAUACCCAUUCCAUUCCUAGCUUGGGCAGUGGCUAGCCAGUGGAAGGCAAUCUUCCACAAGU